GACGAACGCUGGUGGCGUGCUUAACACAUGCAAGUCGAACGGAAAGGCCCUGCUUUUGUGGGGUGCUCGAGUGGCGAACGGGUGAGUAACACGUGAGUAACCUGCCCUUGACUUUGGGAUAACUUCAGGAAACUGGGGCUAAUACCGGAUAGGAGCUCCUGCUGCAUGGUGGGGGUUGGAAAGUUUCGGCGGUUGGGGAUGGACUCGCGGCUUAUCAGCUUGUUGGUGGGGUAGUGGCUUACCAAGGCUUUGACGGGUAGCCGGCCUGAGAGGGUGACCGGCCACAUUGGGACUGAGAUACGGCCCAGACUCCUACGGGAGGCAGCAGUGGGGAAUAUUGCACAAUGGGCGGAAGCCUGAUGCAGCAACGCCGCGUGCGGGAUGGCGGCCUUCGGGUUGUAAACCGCUUUCGCCUGUGACGAAGCGUGAGUGACGGUAAUGGGUAAAGAAGCACCGGCUAACUACGUGCCAGCAGCCGCGGUGAUACGUAGGGUGCGAGCGUUGUCCGGAUUUAUUGGGCGUAAAGGGCUCGUAGGUGGUUGAUCGCGUCGGAAGUGUAAUCUUGGGGCUUAACCCUGAGCGUGCUUUCGAUACGGGUUGACUUGAGGAAGGUAGGGGAGAAUGGAAUUCCUGGUGGAGCGGUGGAAUGCGCAGAUAUCAGGAGGAACACCAGUGGCGAAGGCGGUUCUCUGGGCCUUUCCUGACGCUGAGGAGCGAAAGCGUGGGGAGCGAACAGGCUUAGAUACCCUGGUAGUCCACGCUGUAAACGGUGGGUACUAGGUGUGGGGUCCAUUCCACGGGUUCCGUGCCGUAGCUAACGCUUUAAGUACCCCGCCUGGGGAGUACGGCCGCAAGGCUAAAACUCAAAGGAAUUGUCGGGGCCCCGCACAAGCGGCGGAGCAUGCGGAUUAAUUCGAUGCAACGCGUAGAACCUUACCUGGGUUUGACAUGGAUCGGGAGUGCUCAGAGAUGGGUGUGCCUCUUUUGGGGUCGGUUCACAGGUGGUGCAUGGCUGUCGUCAGCUCGUGUCGUGAGAUGUUGGGUUAAGUCCCGCAACGAGCGCAACCCUUGUUCACUGUUGCCAGCACGUUAUGGUGGGGACUCAGUGGAGACCGCCGGGGUCAACUCGGAGGAAGGUGGGGAUGACGUCAAGUCAUCAUGCCCCUUAUGUCCAGGGCUUCACGCAUGCUACAAUGGCUGGUACAGAGAGUGGCGAGCCUGUGAGGGUGAGCGAAUCUCGGAAAGCCGGUCUCAGUUCGGAUUGGGGUCUGCAACUCGACCUCAUGAAGUCGGAGUCGCUAGUAAUCGCAGAUCAGCAACGCUGCGGUGAAUACGCUCCCGGG
This 1343-nucleotide ribosomal RNA is filed under the name uncultured bacterium. Its description in RNAcentral is "16S ribosomal RNA". It matches the Rfam family "Bacterial small subunit ribosomal RNA", at positions 28 to 1378 of the family's 1533-position model. The record is from RNAcentral.